AGUAGGUGGGUGCGAAAGUAAUUGUGGUUUUUGCCAUUGAAAGUAAUGGCAAAACCGGAAUUACUUUUGCACCCACCUGAUUAUUAUU
RNAcentral lists this microRNA precursor (88 nucleotides) under Chlorocebus sabaeus (green monkey). RNAcentral's name for it is "miRNA (ENSCSAG00000025250.1)". The record is from RNAcentral. Lineage: Eukaryota; Metazoa; Chordata; Mammalia; Primates; Cercopithecidae.